Molecule: ribosomal RNA, 805 nt
Filed under: uncultured Arcobacter sp.
Lineage: Bacteria; Pseudomonadati; Campylobacterota; Epsilonproteobacteria; Campylobacterales; Arcobacteraceae
Description: bacterial SSU rRNA
Rfam family: Bacterial small subunit ribosomal RNA
Source: RNAcentral
AGUUGUAUCCUGGCUCAGAGUGAACGCUGGCGGCGUGCUUAACACAUGCAAGUCGAACGAGAACGGGUUAUAGUUUACUAUAACUGUCAGCUAAGUGGCGCACGGGUGAGUAAUAUAUAGGUAACGUGCCCUAGAGAAGAGGAUAACAAUUGGAAACGAUUGCUAAUACUCUAUAUGCCUUUAAGUCAUAAGACUGCAAGGGAAAUAUUUAUAGCUCUAGGAUCGGCCUGUACGGUAUCAGUUUGUUGGUGAGGUAAUGGCUCACCAAGACUAUGACGCCUAACUGGUUUGAGAGGAUGAUCAGUCACACUGGAACUGAGACACGGUCCAGACUCCUACGGGAGGCAGCAGUGGGGAAUAUUGCACAAUGGACGAAAGUCUGAUGCAGCAACGCCGCGUGGAGGAUGACACAUUUCGGUGCGUAAACUCCUUUUAUAUAGGAAGAUAAUGACGGUACUAUAUGAAUAAGCACCGGCUAACUCCGUGCCAGCAGCCGCGGUAAUACGGAGGGUGCAAGCGUUACUCGGAAUCACUGGGCGUAAAGAGCGUGUAGGCGGAUAGUUAAGUUUGAAGUGAAAUCCAAUGGCUCAACCAUUGAACUGCUUUGAAAACUGAUUAUCUAGAAUAUGGGAGAGGUAGAUGGAAUUUCUGGUGUAGGGGUAAAAUCCGUAGAGAUCAGAAGGAAUACCGAUUGCGAAGGCGAUCUACUGGAACAUUAUUGACGCUGAGACGCGAAAGCGUGGGGAGCAAACAGGAUUAGAUACCCUGGUAGUCCACGCCCUAAACGAUGUACACUAGUUGUUGU